This 278-nucleotide ribosomal RNA is filed under the name uncultured bacterium. Its description in RNAcentral is "partial 16S ribosomal RNA". It matches the Rfam family "Bacterial small subunit ribosomal RNA", at positions 210 to 504 of the family's 1533-position model. The record is from RNAcentral.
CGGGAUAGCACAGGGAUGGGCUUAUGACGCAUUAGCCAGCUGGUGAGGUAACGGCUCACCAGGGCGACGAUGCGUAGCCGGCCUGAGAGGGUGGACGGCCACAUUGGGACUGAGACACGGCCCAGACUCCUACGGGAGGCAGCAGUGGGGAAUAUUGCACAAUGGGGGAAACCCUGAUGCAGCGACGCCGCGUGAGCGAAGAAGUAUCUCGGUAUGUAAAGCUCUAUCAGCAGGGAAGAAGAGAGACGGUACUUGACUAAGAAGCCCCGGCUAACUAC